This 5762-nucleotide long non-coding RNA is filed under the name Triticum aestivum (bread wheat). RNAcentral describes it as "long non-coding RNA (TAES_LNC006679)". The record is from RNAcentral. Lineage: Eukaryota; Viridiplantae; Streptophyta; Magnoliopsida; Poales; Poaceae.
UCCAGGUUAUUGACAGUUUUGUUUUCUUCAUAAUACUAUUGGAAGAAAACCUGAAAUUCUCAUGGCAUUCUCAAGGAUCUGAAGUUGAUACUUGUGGAAGAAACUCUUGAACACAAACAUAGUAUAAAUUCAUAAUUAGGCUGCCGUAAAGUCAUCAUCAACCUGCUGUACAAUGACCAACACAAGAUGAACUAAUCACAUACUAAACAUUUCAUCGUCAUGAAGCUUUAAAUACAGUGGCUUCAGUUGAAAUUUACAGUCAUCUCACUACGAAUAAAGAGUAACUUUUAAAGUGUAUCACAUAUUCAGCUUUGAUGAAUUUUACAGUGUUUCAUUUUAUUAAAAUUCCAGUCAGUAAUAACCAGAUCACAACAAAGAUACUGGAACUUCAGUAAAAAUAAGGAGAAACAACCAGUAAUAAUGUGUGCUUUAUGAUCAGAUAAGAACGAGAAAGAGGAUGGAGGAAGAAGGGGACAGAAUAGCUACACAAUCAGGAAACUACAGUCACACCAAGAAGACAAACUGUAGGUCAGUACUCUCACAAUAUCCUUCAAAUAGUUCUUCCAGUAAAAAGUGUAGCACUAUAAAUUCAGGUAACUGUAUAGUGUAAAAUCCAUCACUGUAAAAUACAAAAAUCACAACCUUUAGGCUACUACUAUAAAUUACAGAAGUUACAGGGUAGUGUAAAUUCAAACAUAAGGUCGCUGUAAAUUCAAACAAUCAAAAAAAUUAUAGUGCGGUAAAUUAUAGAAGCUAUAGGACAGUAAAUCCUUCAUCAGGUUAGUCAUCAAUUAACUAUAAUUUACUACGAAUACAAACAAAAAAGUAGACUUCUAUGAAUACUACAGUACUGUAAAAUCCGAAGGUUGAGGUUGGUCGUGGCGCCCAUGCAUUGCAUCAGAAAAAAAAAAUCACACGCCCUUAUGGUUGUCCGGAUCUUCUACUUGAAGACGGCUAAUCAUUACGCCGUCAUCCCGACCUCUUCCUUGCUUCCCUCAUUGUUUGAUAAUCUAUCCAGCCCUUUUCUAAUGGACCACUUGGCCUGCUGUUUACAAAGCACAUAUCAGCACACUGUAACACUGCCAGUAGUAUUCAUACAUGGAAAGCCCACACAACGUUCAAUCCUUCUUUACCGGGUCUUUCUCUUAUUGCCACGUUGUAACCACACCCCUUAACCCUCUGCACAACUGUCAUUCCUUCUUCACCGGGUCUAUCAUUUGCCAUGUUAUACGCACACCUCACCCUCCUGCUAUUCUAUAUCUGUAAGCAUCUUGUUGAUCCGCUAAGCAUCUUGUUUCAGUAGAUAAGUCGAGUUGUAUAGCCGUCUAACUCAUAUUAUCAUUGGUGCUUCCUGAACCACAUAAGAAUUGGACUCUUAUGAUCCUGAAUAAUGAACUGAAUCUAUAAAAAAAUGCUCAACAUUAAGAAUAUUUAAUUUAAAAAAUCAGGACCUGAACGAUUAUAUGCAUAAGCCUGAUGGUUGCAUAUAAUACAAAGAUUGUUGAACCGGUGAUUGCUAAGAGGUCAAUUUCAUGCAUCAAAUAUAAACUGUAGUAGAAUUUGAUAAUUCUAAGCUUGAAAGGAAACCUGGGUACAAAAAUGGUCUAUUUGGUGUCGCCUUCUAGGAAAUCUACCCUGUUCUGAAGGCUCGUGUAGAUGAAUUAUUUUCUAUGUGGAAAGAUAUACUUGUACACGCUGCGCCUUCGCGCGCUAAUAGCGGCUAAGAAGCAUGAUCACCUAGAGCGCCAUCACUGGAUUUAACCAGAACAAAAGGCAAACAAUUUUAUACAUGAAUAUCUAUAUGACUGCAGUCAGAACUAAAAGUACCCGAUUUUAAAUAUGGGUUGGGUGGCCUGCUGGAGUGCAGUACUUGAGAGACUAUGCUAGUGUAGUAAACAUAAAUUUGGCCGGUCAGCUUCUAUAGGGAAUGCAAAACACUUAUGAAAUAAGAAACAGAGAACAUCUAAGCAGAAAUAAGGUACAUGUUUGCUUACGAAUAGUACUAACAUGAUAUAUUUUCUGCCCGCCGGUAAGUUAUCAAGCAAGAUCAUCAAAUGUUUCUUUGUAGAUCACAUUGUGAGUAUUGCCAACAGUUUCCAGGAGAGUUAUUUUCAGUCAAAGCUGGAAGAUGAAGACUGACUAAGAAAUACUCACAUCAGUCAAAAUAAAAAUCCUGGGCUGAAAAUUUGAGAUGUACAUAACUACUACAAUGUAGCAACGAACCCAUACACUUUUUUCAUUAUCCCUGCUGCCUUUUGACACUCAAGCGGACAUUUGUAUUGGCGACUAUAAGAAAACUGGAAAAUAUAUUAGAUAGAGCGGGCGGUGAGGUCCUAGGUGGGGGGAGUGGGGGAGGCGGCGGGGUGGCACUCGGUAGGCAGAGCGACCGACGGCGGUGUGAUCGCAUGCGAAAUCAUAGUCAGAACUUUGCAUUUGAAGGUACACACUCAGAGAAAUUUUUUUUGCUCAGUGCCAAAAGUAUCAAAUGCCUAAAACUGAAAAUCACAUCCUGAACUGAGCAUUUUAUUGAGAAUCGGCAAAAUAAGUUAAAGACAACAGUACGAGAACAGGUGAACGGUGAUCUGAUUUCAACACAAAAUACUCAUGAAGAAAUAAAAUGGGUGGACAGUGGUUUGGUUUCUAAGCAUAAAACUGAUCAUGUUUAUGCCACACAUUAAGCACAUAAUGUGUGCGUAUUUGGAGCCUGAAACAUCUACCAACUAAAACUACUCCCAAAAGCAAUCUUCAAGUUCAAUCUUAAGACGUAACACAUAAAGCUACAGACUACAAUUUUGAUGCACAGAUUUAGCUCACUCAAUCCAGUUUAGAGAGUACCCACACCCAAUUCUGGAAAAAAUAAUGCGAGGCCCAAUCCUCCGCUGCAUCAAGCAUCAAGCAUCAACCAUCAUGAGAUUGAUUCCUUAAUUGAUCUGAAAACAGUUGCUUGGAUUAAUGUACUGUUACAACUUGAUGUCAGAGGAAAGGAGGGAUAAAACCUUGAGGAGCUACAUGUCCAUGGCGUCCUUGACAUCUCCUUGAAGAAUCCCUUGACAACAGCGACCGUGAUGGAUGGGGAACUCCCAUGGCGUGCCCCAACUGCAUCUCCAGCAGAGAAUAUGAAGAGAAGGUGAGGUGUAUGGGCAGCGAAUCUCGCCCAAGAAGGAAGGAAGGACGAACCUGGGACCACCGGAGACACGCCGGCGAAGCCAUGCCCGAAACCCUAGCCAUGGGUGUGUGGUUGUGAGCAGGCUGUAGAGGCCGGGAGCAGAGAGUCUGGGUGGAGGGGAGGGAGGCGCGGACCGUCGGCAGCUUGGGGCGUGCCGCGCUGCGCCGGAGGCGCCGGAAGCAGCCGGCAUGGGCGGCGGCGGCGGCGAUGACUUCAUAGGCGAGAGGGAGAGGAGGCGAGCUCGUGUGCUCUGUGUGUGGUUGUGUUUCCUUUUUUCUUUACAGAACUGCUUGGACCGCGCGUUGAAUAGUCCAAACGACAGGGGGUUUUACGCAAAAAUGAAUCGUUUUUCCUGAGUACCACUUAAACAAGGACCGCGGGUUGAUUUCAAAGAAACAGCGGGGUUUUUUCGCAAAAACACCAGCGACGUACGACCAGAAGCGAUGCAUGGUUUAUUAGUACUAGUACAAAUGCCCGUGCGUUGCAACGGGCAUGGAAUCUUGCAAAAUCUACUCAAUGUGUCAAUAGGUACAACUUUUGGGUUGGAAUCAUUGUGACUUAUUGAAGUUAUCACGCUGGUAGGCUCGAAAAUAAAACAUGGGCAACUUUAUUCGCCGAACGUCGCACCCAGCAAACCUUGGACUCCAUGAAGUCCUGAAGUUCUUUAUCAUUACGCACCAUUUCUUAUAUUCCGUUCUAAUAAACAUGAUUAUUGUUUCUCGGCUGAAUACUGGUCGUUAAGAAGCCACCUCGACAUUCUUCGGCUAAUUGAAGAAUAAUUCAUGGAAUAGUCUCUAAAUCUUUUUCUUUUCUUUUCGGCAAACAUGAACUUUUUUAAUAAAACAAAAUGGUUUAUAAAAAAAAGCAUUUUUCUGAACAUUUCUAAAAGCAUUUUUUAAAUGUAACAACUCUUGGGAAUUUUGACCAGUUUUUAAAAAGUGUGAAUAUAUACAUAUAACUGUGUGCUUAUUAUAAAACAAUUUUUACUAUGUUGGGUAUUUUCAGAUAUAUACGUUUGUUGUACUUUUCAUUUUUAUUUUAUGUUAAAAUGAUUUGUGAUUACAAAAUGGUUCUAAAAUUGCAAAAAACAUUGUUCGUUUUGACUUCUCAAAAACAGUUAUUUAAUUCAAAAAACGUCCAUGAUUUCAAAAAAUAUGAACAAUUUUUUAUUUUUUGGAAAAAAUUAUAAGCAUUCUUUAAUAAUGAUGAACGUUUUUUAAACUUGAAUAAAAACUUUUAAUUCGGUAAAAAAUGAAUUUUUUGAACAUUUUUCGAAAAUGAUGAACACAAUUUUAAUUUAAUGAAUUUUUUUGAGGUCGGUGAACAAAUUUUGAUGAACGUUUUUUAAAUCCGAUGAAAAAAUUGAAUUCGAUUAACCCUUUUUUUACAUCGAUGAACAUUUUUUGAAAUUCGAUGAACAAAAAAAUCUUUGCGAAUUUGAAAAGAAAUUUCACAAAAAAAGUGAAAAAUAAAGAUGAGAAAAGAAGAGAGAAAAAGGAAAAUAGAAAAGAAAAUGAAAGGAAAAAAGAAAGAAAAAGAAAAUACAAAUAAAAAAACAAAAAAUGGGCUUGCGCAUGAGAACGCCCAGCGCGCGGAAGCGCCGUAUAGGCUUCCCCCAUAGAGAACACUUUGGUAUUAAAAAAAAAGAGUGUCUAUAUUAAAAUCGACUGAAAUUGAAUUGGCCUUCAAUCAAAUAUACCAACCAGUAAAAAUCUGACACCAACUGAAAAAAAACUUGACUGAAAAUAAAGGGGCAUUCAACCAAUUUUUUCAGGCAUUACAAACAUGGCACGUGUAUGACCUAUGCGCUCUAUGAUCCAUGAGCAAGCAAUGAAGGGGCCCAAAAAGCAACACUGCCAGGACAGUACUCUCACGAGCUUCUCCAGGUUAUUGACAGUUUUGUUUUCUUCAUAAUACUAUUGGAAGAAAACCUGAAAUUCUCAUGGCAUUCUCAAGGAUCUGAAGUUGAUACUUGUGGAAGAAACUCCUGAACACAAACAUAGUAUAAAUUCAUAAUUAGGCUGCUGUAAAGUCAUCAUCAACCUGCUGUACAAUGACCAACACAAGAUGAACUAAUCACAUACUAAACAUUUCGUCGUCAUGAAGCUUUAAAUACAGUGGCUUCAGUUGAAAUUUACAGUCAUCUCACUACGAAUAAAGAGUAACUUUUAAAGUGUAUCACAUAUUCAGCUUUGAUGAAUUUUACAGUGUUUCAUUUUACUAAAAUUCCAGUCAGUAACAACCAGAUCACAACAAAGAUACUGGAACUUCAGUAAAAAUAAGGAGAAACAACCAGUAACAAUGUGUGCUUUAUGAUCAGAUAAGAACGAGAAAGAGGAUGGAGGAAGAAGGGGACAGAAUAGCUACACAAUCAGGAAACUACAGUCACACCAAGAAGACAAACUGUAGGUCAGUACUCUCACAAUAUCCUUCAAAUAGUUCUUCCAGUAAAAAGUGUAGCACUAUAAAUUCAGGUAACUGUAUAGUGUAAAAUCUAUCACUGUAAAAUACAAAAAUCACAACCUUUAGGCUACUACUAUAAAUUACAGAAGUUACAGGGUAGUGUAAAUUCAAACAUAAGGUCGCUGUAAAUUCA